This 1247-nucleotide ribosomal RNA is filed under the name metagenome. RNAcentral's name for it is "bacterial LSU rRNA". It matches the Rfam family "Bacterial large subunit ribosomal RNA", at positions 1635 to 2875 of the family's 2925-position model. The record is from RNAcentral.
UAUACGACCGUACCGCAAACCGACACUGGUGCGCGAGAUGAGUAUUCUAAGGCGCUUGAGAGAACUCAGGAGAAGGAACUCGGCAAAUUGACACCGUAACUUCGGAAGAAGGUGUGCCCUAUUAGUGUGUAGUGAACAACGAAGCAUGAAUGGGUUGCAAAAAAUCGGUGGCUGCGACUGUUUAUUAAAGCACAGCACUCUGCAAACACGAAAGUGGACGUAUAGGGUGUGACGCCUGCCCGGUGCUGGAAGAUUAAAUGAUGGGGUGCAAGCUCUUGAUUGAAGUCCCAGUAAACGGCGGCCGUAACAAUAACGGUCCUAAGGUAGCGAAAUUCCUUGUCGGGUAAGUUCCGACCUGCACGAAUGGCGUAACGAUGGCCACACUGUCUCCUCCUGAGACUCAGCGAAGUUGAAAUGUUUGUGAUGAUGCAAUCUCCCCGCGGAAAGACGGAAAGACCCCAUGAACCUUUACUGUAGCUUUGUAUUGGACUUUGAACAGAUCUGUGUAGGAUAGGUGGGAGGCUUUGAAGCAGGGUCGCUAGAUCUUGUGGAGCCAACGUUGAAAUACCACCCUCGUGUGUUUGAGGUUCUAACCUAGGUCCAUUAUCUGGAUCGGGGACAGUGCAUGGUAGGCAGUUUGACUGGGGCGGUCUCCUCCCAAAGCGUAACGGAGGAGUUCGAAGGUACGCUAGUUACGGUCGGACAUCGUGACGAUAGUGCAAUGGCAUAAGCGUGCUUAACUGCGAGACUGACAAGUCGAGCAGAUGCGAAAGCAGGACAUAGUGAUCCGGUGGUUCUGUAUGGAAGGGCCAUCGCUCAACGGAUGAAAGGUACUCUGGGGAUAACAGGCUGAUACCGCCCAAGAGUUCAUAUCGACGGCGGUGUUUGGCACCUCGAUGUCGGCUCAUCUCAUCCUGGGGCUGUAGCCGGUCCCAAGGGUAUGGCUGUUCGCCAUUUAAAGAGGUACGUGAGCUGGGUUUAAAACGUCGUGAGACAGUUUGGUCCCUAUCUUCCGUGGGCGCUGCAGAUUUGAGGAAGCCUGCUCCUAGUACGAGAGGACCGGAGUGGACACACCUCUGGUGUAUCGGUUGUCACGCCAGUGGCAUUGCCGAGUAGCUAAGUGUGGAAGAGAUAACCGCUGAAAGCAUCUAAGCGGGAAACUCGUUUCAAGAUGAGAUCUGCCGGGGCCUUGAGCCCCCUAAAGAGUCGUUCAAGACCAGGACGUUGAUAGGUCAGGUGUGGAAGCG